This is a non-coding RNA of Canis lupus familiaris (dog), 184 nucleotides long. NCBI's taxonomy places the organism in Eukaryota, Metazoa, Chordata, Mammalia, Carnivora, Canidae. The record is from Rfam.
AUCGCUUCUCGGCCUUUUGGCUAAGAUCAAGUGUAGUAUAUGUUCUUAUCAGUUUAAAAAGGCCUGUGGAGUGUAGAGGGAGAGGCUUGGUGUAAGUGGCUCAAGGCCUCCACUGUGCACUGUGUGCUCACUGACGUCCGUCUGUGCUGCUGGAAGGGGUGAAAAUGACCCCGACCCACUCUCU